GUGGGGAAUAUUCCGCAAUGGACGAAAGUCUGACGGAGCAACGCCGCGUGAGUGAUGAAGGUUUUCGGACUGUAAAGCUCUGUUGUUUAGGACGAAAGUGCCUGUUGCGAACAGUUACAGGUAUUGACGGUACUAAACGAGGAAGCCACGGCUAACUACGUGCCAGCAGCCGCGGUAAUACGUAGGUGGCAAGCGUUGUCCGGAAUUAUUGGGCGUAAAGAGCAUAUAGGCGGAGAUUUAAGUCUGGUGUGAAAAUGCGGGGCUCAACCCCGUAUUGCGAUGGAAACUGAAUUUCUUGAGUGCAGGAGAGGAAAGGGGAAUUCCCAGUGUAGCGGUGAAAUGCGUAGAUAUUGGGAGGAACACCAGUGGCGAAGGCGCCUUUCUGGACUGUGUCUGACGCUGAGAUGCGAAAGCCAGGGUAGCGAACGGGAUUAGAUACCCGUGUAGUCC
Molecule: ribosomal RNA, 450 nt
Filed under: uncultured bacterium
Lineage: Bacteria
Description: partial 16S ribosomal RNA
Rfam family: Bacterial small subunit ribosomal RNA
Source: RNAcentral